CUUCAGAGACAGCAUCUUCAACACUGGAAGAAAUUGUGGCUGGUUUACAAAAUCUUACAUGUUAUGUGAUCUACCUGCUGAUGGGAUUUAUGAGAGGAGAGGAACAGCCAUGAGUUCAACUGCAGCAGCAACUGGAUUGGUUCUCUUCCUUCUCUCUCUGCCAGUGGUACAGAGUCAGAAUGAUUAUGGAGUGACUUACACUUUUACUCAGAUCUGUGCUGUAAAAGGAUCAACAGUGGUCAUAGGCUGCUCCUUCAAAUACCCUUCAAGAGUAAAUGUGUUAAAAAGAGUUUGGUUCACUAAAUGGAACAAUUAUAACCCUGAAGAUCUGAAAACAGACUCGGUGUAUGCAGGUCGAGUGUCGUACAGUUCUCACUGGAAGAGCUGCACUCUGACAAUCAGAGACCUGAGAGAGAGCGACUCAGCUGUGUACAAGUUCAGGUUUGAAACAGACCAGAAAAGUUUUACUGGUUUACCUGGAGUCACUCUGACUGUCACAGCUCUUCAGGUACACGUGAAGACAGCAUCAUAUUCUAGCUGGGCAACACUGACUUGUCAGAGCAGUUGUCGACUACAUGAGCGUCCCUCCUACAUCUGGUACAAAAAUGGACAGAAAAUUUCUACUCAGUCACACCAGAAUUUGUAUCCAGACAAUCUGAAUCCUUCAGAUAGCUACU
This is a long non-coding RNA of Pelmatolapia mariae (spotted tilapia), 677 nucleotides long. RefSeq lists it as uncharacterized. The transcript is spliced from 3 exons. The record is from RefSeq and is a predicted model, not a curated record. Lineage: Eukaryota; Metazoa; Chordata; Actinopteri; Cichliformes; Cichlidae.